GACGAACGCUGGCGGCGUGCUUAACACGUGCAAGUCGAACGGAAAGGCCCUGCUUUUGUGGGGUGCUCGAGUGGCGAACGGGUGAGUAACACGUGAGUAACCUGCCCUUGACUUUGGGAUAACUUCAGGAAACUGGGGCUAAUACCGGAUAGGCGCUCCUGCUGCAUGGUGGGGGUUGGAAAGUUUCGGCGGUUGGGGAUGGACUCGCGGCUUAUCAGCUUGUUGGUGGGGUAGUGGCUUACCAAGGCUUUGACGGGUAGCCGGCCUGAGAGGGUGACCGGCCACAUUGGGACUGAGAUACGGCCCAGACUCCUACGGGAGGCAGCAGUGGGGAAUAUUGCACAAUGGGCGGAAGCCUGAUGCAGCAACGCCGCGUGCGGGAUGUCGGCCUUCGGGUUGUAAACCGCUUUCGCCUGUGACGAAGCGUGAGUGACGGUAAUGGGUAAAGAAGCACCGGCUAACUACGUG
RNAcentral lists this ribosomal RNA (468 nucleotides) under uncultured bacterium. RNAcentral's name for it is "partial 16S ribosomal RNA". It matches the Rfam family "Bacterial small subunit ribosomal RNA", at positions 28 to 507 of the family's 1533-position model. The record is from RNAcentral.